This 253-nucleotide ribosomal RNA is filed under the name uncultured Micrococcus sp. RNAcentral describes it as "partial 16S ribosomal RNA". It matches the Rfam family "Bacterial small subunit ribosomal RNA", at positions 524 to 776 of the family's 1533-position model. The record is from RNAcentral. Lineage: Bacteria; Bacillati; Actinomycetota; Actinomycetes; Micrococcales; Micrococcaceae.
UACGUAGGGUGCGAGCGUUAUCCGGAAUUAUUGGGCGUAAAGAGCUCGUAGGCGGUUUGUCGCGUCUGCCGUGAAAGUCCGGGGCUUAACUCCGGAUCUGCGGUGGGUACGGGCAGACUAGAGUGCAGUAGGGGAGACUGGAAUUCCUGGUGUAGCGGUGGAAUGCGCAGAUAUCAGGAGGAACACCGAUGGCGAAGGCAGGUCUCUGGGCUGUAACUGACGCUGAGGAGCGAAAGCAUGGGGAGCGAACAGG